AUUGAACGCUGGCGGCAUGCUUUACACAUGCAAGUCGGACGGCAGCACAGUGAAGCUUGCUUCUUGGGUGGCGAGUGGCGUACGGGUGAGUAAUAUAUCGGAACGUACCGAGUAAUGGGGGAUAACUAAUCGAAAGAUUAGCUAAUACCGCAUAUUCUCUGAGGAGGAAAGCAGGGGACCUUCGGGCCUUGCGUUAUUCGAGCGGCCGAUAUCUGAUUAGUUAGUUGGUGGGGUAAAGGCCUACCAAGGCGACGAUCAGUAGCGGGUCUGAGAGGAUGAUCCGCCACACUGGGACUGAGACACGGCCCAGACUCCUACGGGAGGCAGCAGUGGGGAAUUUUGGACAAUGGGCGCAAGCCUGAUCCAGCCAUGCCGCGUGUCUGAAGAAGGCCUUCGGGUUGUAAAGGACUUUUGUCAGGGAAGAAGAGGCUGUUGCUAAUAUCGACAACUGAUGACGGUACCUGAAGAAUAAGCACCGGCUAACUACGUG
RNAcentral lists this ribosomal RNA (490 nucleotides) under uncultured bacterium. RNAcentral's name for it is "partial 16S ribosomal RNA". It matches the Rfam family "Bacterial small subunit ribosomal RNA", at positions 30 to 507 of the family's 1533-position model. The record is from RNAcentral.